This 424-nucleotide ribosomal RNA is filed under the name uncultured bacterium. RNAcentral's name for it is "bacterial SSU rRNA". It matches the Rfam family "Bacterial small subunit ribosomal RNA", at positions 358 to 774 of the family's 1533-position model. The record is from RNAcentral.
GGAAUCUUCCACAAUGGACGCAAGUCUGAUGGAGCAACGCCGCGUGAGUGAAGAAGGGUUUCGGCUCGUAAAACUCUGUUGUUAAAGAAGAACACUUCUGAGAGUAACUGUUCAGAAGUUGAGGGUAUUUAACCAGAAAGCCACGGCUAACUACGUGCCAGCAGCCGCGGUAAUACGUAGGUGGGAAGCGUUGUCCGGAUUUAUUGGGCGUAAAGCGAGAGCAGGCGGUUUCUUAAGUCUGAUGUGAAAGCCUUCGGCUUAACCGAAGAAGUGCAUCGGAAACUGGGAAACUUGAGUGCAGAAGAGGAAAGUGGAACUCCAUGUGUAGCGGUGAAAUGCGUAGAUAUAUGGAAGAACACCAGUGGCGAAGGCGGCUGUCUGGUCUGUAACUGACGCUGAGGCUCGAAAGCAUGGGUAGCGAACA